This 335-nucleotide long non-coding RNA is filed under the name Dunaliella salina. RNAcentral's name for it is "long non-coding RNA (DSAL_LNC000474)". Lineage: Eukaryota; Viridiplantae; Chlorophyta; Chlorophyceae; Chlamydomonadales; Dunaliellaceae. The record is from RNAcentral.
UGAACCCAAGCAACAGUGUGUGCACUUCAGCCAAUUCAGUGAGCUCAAUUUGCUUUACAUUCUCAAGGUCGGCAGCCCGCUGGGUUGUGUGAUGCCUUUGUCUAGGGUUAGGUCCGGGUCGGCAAUCCAUUAGGGGUUGUGUGAUGCCCUUGCUUUGAAGGUCGGCAGCCCAUCACUGGGCUGUGUGAUGCCUUUGUCUAGGGUUAAGUCCGGGUCGGCAGUCCAUAGGGGAUUGUGUGAUGCCCUUGCUUUGAAGGUCGGCAGCCCGUUCCUGGGUUGUGUGAUGCCUUUGUCUAGGGUUAAGUCCGGGUCGGCAGUCCAUAGGGGAUUGUGUG